AUUGAACGCUGGCGGCAUGCCUUANACAUGCAAGUCGAACGGCAGCACGGGAGCAAUCCUGGUGGCGAGUGGCGAACGGGUGAGUAAUAUAUCGGAACGUGCCCAGUCGUGGGGGAUAACGUAGCGAAAGCUACGCUAAUACCGCAUACGAUCUAUGGAUGAAANCGGGGGAUCGCAAGACCUCGCGCGAUUGGAGCGGCCGAUAUCAGAUUAGGUAGUUGGUGAGGUAAAGGCUCACCAAGCCGACGAUCUGUAGCUGGUCUGAGAGGACGACCAGCCACACUGGGACUGAGACACGGCCCAGACUCCUACGGGAGGCAGCAGUGGGGAAUUUUGGACAAUGGGCGCAAGCCUGAUCCAGCAAUGCCGCGUGCAGGAUGAAGGCCUUCGGGUUGUAAACUGCUUUGUACGGAACGAAACGGUGAGCUCUAAUACAGUUUGCUAAUGACGGUACCGUAAGAAUAAGCACCGGCUAACUACGUG
This 483-nucleotide ribosomal RNA is filed under the name uncultured bacterium. RNAcentral's name for it is "bacterial SSU rRNA". It matches the Rfam family "Bacterial small subunit ribosomal RNA", at positions 30 to 507 of the family's 1533-position model. The record is from RNAcentral.